This is a non-coding RNA of Vicia faba (fava bean), 201 nucleotides long. The record is from the annotation of a GenBank genome assembly. NCBI's taxonomy places the organism in Eukaryota, Viridiplantae, Streptophyta, Magnoliopsida, Fabales, Fabaceae.
AUGGGGUGGCUUGGAUCCUUACUCUCCCCAUUGAAGAAGAUCUGGGUUCGACUUCAUUCAACCAAUAAAAGGAGUAGAGGAAUAUACAUCUUAUAUAAGGAUGUGAAGUCAUGUCCAUGUGAAGAUGUGCAAGUUCUAUGGUCAAUAUUGGUUGAGUCAAGCGCAGCCUCUGCUUCUUUACCAUCAAAAUAUACACAUUAA